This 743-nucleotide long non-coding RNA is filed under the name Monodelphis domestica (gray short-tailed opossum). Its description in RNAcentral is "lncRNA (ENSMODG00000043933.1)". The record is from RNAcentral. Lineage: Eukaryota; Metazoa; Chordata; Mammalia; Didelphimorphia; Didelphidae.
GGAUAAUGUCAGAAGAAAAAGCAGCAGCCUCCGGAGGAUGAAGUGGGCUAUAAUGGACUCCUGAAGGAGGCUGGAUUUGAGCUGAGUUUUGAAAGAAACCAGAGAAGCUAAGAUGUGAGAGUAAACAAAGGAGAGCAUUCCAGGCAUAGAGACAGUCAUUCCAAAAUGAUAGAGAAAAGGCAUGGAAUGUUACAUGUAAAGAGAAUCCAAUAGAGCACUAUGACCAGAUUACAAAAUUCUGUAAUGGAAGGAAGAGAAUGUCAUGAAGAGCUUUAAAUAAAAAUCAAGAUUUUAUAUUUGAUCCUGAACCUAAUAGGGAGCUACAGAAUUGACUGAGUAGGCAGACGGCAUAGAACUAGACUUUAGAGAAAUCCCUUUAUCACAUGAGUGAAGGGUAAGUGGAUGAAGAAAGACUUUUGCAGAAGACUAUUGCAAUAGUGCUGGUGACAGACCUGAGAAGAGCCUGAAUGGUGGUUGUGGCCUCAUGAGUAGAGGAAAGUUAAGAUACAACCACCCCAGCCAUCUAGGUGGCAUCACAGUGGACCUGAACUCAGAUCUUGCCUCUGACACUUACUCCCUCUCUGACACUGAGUCAUUUUACAGAUGAUGAAACUGAAGAAAACAGAAUUGAGUGACUUGCCUAGGGUUACACAAUCAGUAAAUACCUGAAGCUAGAUUUCCUCAUUCCAGGUGUGGUGUUCUAUCCAUUGUGCCACCUAAGCUGUCCUUAUUGCAAAGACUAG